Non-coding RNA from Mus caroli (Ryukyu mouse), 552 nucleotides. NCBI's taxonomy places the organism in Eukaryota, Metazoa, Chordata, Mammalia, Rodentia, Muridae. The record is from RefSeq and is a predicted model, not a curated record.
UGCCCAGAAACACCCAGGCUCGCUGCUUUGUAGAAGCAUACAGCUCUGGACACUCAUAGUGUUCACAGGGACAUCAGGUGCAGAUGCCCUGGGUGCCAAGAGAGCAGAGCCAUGAUGAUGCCCAUAUCCAGGAGUUUUCUCAAAACUUCCCAGCGGGGAGAAUCCCUUAUGAGUGUCUGGAGGCAGAUAUAAUGGCAAAGUUUGGCCUGGAAGAGCUCAAUGAUCUGGAGAUGGAAGUCAUGAGAAAGAAGGCAGAUGCAAAUGACUUCUGGGCAGCUGCAUAUCCUUGAGGACCAGGAUGCCAUCUGGUGCCAUAAGGAGGCUGUACAAUUUACUCUGUUGGUAUCAGUCUGCAUAGCCAACCUGUGGCUUUGGGUGCACUGGUGAAGUUUCACAGGCAUCAAAACCCUGAUGGAGCUAUCCCCUCCUCCCUCUUUCCUUUGCUUCCAGGGAUAUCCUUGCCUACCCCUUUCUAUCUCCCAGCAGCCCUCAGGUAGCAGUUGAUUUAUUUUACACCUCUGCUUAGGCCUCCUGUCUGGAGAUGAGCCAUGC